GUUUAUUUCAGCUUUUGUGCAGAGAUUGAAAAAUUGUGCCUUGGUGCAUUACCUUGAUUUUCUGUCAUUAAAUUCUUGACGUGAAAAGAUUCUAAAAGAGAAAAAAGAAAAGGGGAAAAAUUCUGCAUUAUAGUCUUACAGACAAUAUCUGUGAGUUGUUCACCAAGAACACAGGCACAUGGGUUUGGUGACCAUGAGGUUCUUCAUUGUUAACUGAUGGAAAAAAUGCGCAUGUUGUGCAAAAGUGUCUUAAGGGUGUCUUGUCCAUUGUUAAAUGAUAAUCAAAUCUUGGGGAAGGCUUCUGACAUGGCUUUCAGACCCACUAUAUUUCUGGUGUGCACCGGAUGGUUAAUAACCAAUAUUUAUGAGAUCAUCUGUUUGUAACAAUUGUGAGUUAUUACCCCCCAAAAAUAGAUAGUGAGGGCAGAAAUGUGCAUAUUUUAUGUGCAUGUAGGAUGUUGGAUAAGUGCAUGUUGUAUAGUUGCAAAAUGGAAUAACAUCAACUAUGAUUUAUGAAUCAGGUUAUAGAUCUUUCUAUUAAAAAAUUAUUGACUGUGGGUACUAGGCAUGUCAAUUUGGUAACAAUACUAAGUUAAAGUGGCACUUGUGCACUUGUUCUGCCAUUCAUGAACCUUUCUUCUCAACUUUGGGUAAUGAUAACACCAAAAAUAAGGAAUUCGUUGUUAUCCAUAUCAGCAACUUCCCUAAAAAAUAACUUUGGUUCAUGACAUAUCGCAGUAAGAAUAGUAUUAUUGUUCUUGCGGCUGUUUUGGAACGUUGCUAGGCGUAAUAUGGUCUUUUAAGAGCCAAGCACUUAUACCUGUUCGUUGAUCAGAAAUGUCAUAUUAAGUUUUAUUUAAGGUGACAUAAAUAAUUGUAUCUACUGUGAAGCAAAGUCAAAUCAAAGAAGAAUCCCACUAAUCUGUAUUUGCUACAUAAAGUGGGUCCAACAUCUACGUGCCUAUAUCUGUUAGUCACGACAGGGCAGAAAUCAACUAGUUUGGGAUAAAGUAUGCAUAAUUGCAUAUGGUCUGUCCAUACUUUGUGCCUGUUCUAAUUCAAUUAUAAUGCUUUCCCAUGCUCAUUAUUGAUUUUUCCCUUUUAACCAAUAUUGUCCUUACUGUUUCUAUUGUUUAAGCAUAGUUCAAAAGGUGGCACAUCAAUGUGUCAAGCUAGGCAGUUAAUUCCUCUCUAAUUGAUUUCUCUUCCAUGUUUGAGCAGACAUCUGCUGGUGCUGUGAUG
This 1242-nucleotide unclassified non-coding RNA is filed under the name Hevea brasiliensis (rubber tree). Lineage: Eukaryota; Viridiplantae; Streptophyta; Magnoliopsida; Malpighiales; Euphorbiaceae. The record is from RNAcentral.